RNAcentral lists this unclassified non-coding RNA (165 nucleotides) under plant metagenome. RNAcentral describes it as "partial contains small subunit ribosomal RNA and internal transcribed spacer 1". The stretch from base 1 to 46 matches the Rfam family "Eukaryotic small subunit ribosomal RNA", at positions 1786 to 1831 of the family's 1831-position model. The record is from RNAcentral.
AAGUCGUAACAAGGUCUCCGUAGGUGAACCUGCGGAGGGAUCAUUACUGAAUGGCUCCGGCCUUCAACCUUCAAAUCCUAGUGGCAAGCAAACCGUGCUUCGGGGCAUUCGGCCCCGCACUUAUGCAGCAAAGCGUUUGUCUGGAAUCAAAAGCAAGAAUUAAAA